UCUGAUUACAGGUUACGCUGCAGUAGUUGCAUUUAAUACUGGCAAACCACAGUAUUCUUUAUAUAAAGCGAAUUUUAAUGCGAGUCCAAGAAAAUCAGUAAAAAAUCUCGAGUUACGCCGAUGUAAGCGUAACAUCAAACGUCUUGGCCACUGCUCUCGAUCUAAGAGAAAAUUAUUUUUUCAAAAUAACCCAGACUAUGGAGAGAAAUGCCAAAAGCCAGAUUUAACAGCGGAACUCUAUGAGACAGCCAAAGAAGUGUUUCUAAAAAACUUGGAAGUUUCUGUCAAAAAUCGUCACGAUAUAGAACGCGACACGGUAUUACAAGCAGAAAGUGCGUUAUGGUUAGAGCUUCGCAGAUGUUUACUGACAGCAUCGUCUUUUAGUAAGAUUUGCAAGAGACGGCCAAACAUAAGUUCAGCGCCGCUUGUGAAGUCUAUUGUCUAUUCGUAUUCUUUGGACAAUGUACCAGCCAUCAAAUACGGUAAAAGUAAUGAAAAGUUGGCUUUAGAGCAACUUCAAAAACAAGAGGGCAUUAUUAUAGAAAAGUGCGGCCUUUUCAUUGAUAAAGAUCAUUUCUUUUUAGGCGCAUCUCCUGAUGGUAUUUACAGUGAGGGCAUAGUCGAAAUUAAAUGUCCAUAUUCUGCCCGCAAUAUGGACCCAGAAGAAGCUAUUACGCAAAAAAAAAAAUAUUUUGGAAUUUAGAUGGCUCUGUUAACACUAACCAUGACUGGUAUUUUCAAAUUCAAGGUCAACUUCAUAUCAGUGAUAAGAAUUUAUGCCUUUUCGCUACAUGGACUGGUCCCGAGUUCCCACUAAAGGUAGUAAAAAUAUGGAGGGAUAAAACAUUUUGGGAGUCUAAAAUGAAAGAUAAAUAGGUAAAUUUUUAUGAAAAAUGUCUUUUACCAGAAUUUGUGGACCCAAGGAAAAGCAGGUCUAUGCCUAU
Long non-coding RNA from Aricia agestis (brown argus), 944 nucleotides. RefSeq lists it as uncharacterized. The record is from RefSeq and is a predicted model, not a curated record. Lineage: Eukaryota; Metazoa; Arthropoda; Insecta; Lepidoptera; Lycaenidae. The transcript has 3 exons.